GAUUAAAAAAUUCAUCUAUUUUUAUUAUUAAAAACUGAUAUGGCAGACAGAAUAACUAAACAGUGACACGUGGUGUGUCACAUGUACUUCAUGUUGAUGUAUAAAAACUAAUUUUUAAUAGUAAAAACAAAUGAAUUUUUUAAUA
MicroRNA precursor from Gossypium arboreum, 145 nucleotides. It matches the Rfam family "MIR7502 microRNA precursor family". NCBI's taxonomy places the organism in Eukaryota, Viridiplantae, Streptophyta, Magnoliopsida, Malvales, Malvaceae. The record is from Rfam.